CUAGCCCAAACAACCCACUGGCUAAGCUGUCACAGCGCCAAUCAAUCCAAGACAUUUGCCAAUACAUUAAAGUAUGGGAGAUAGAAAUUUUUACUUGGAGCUAUAGAGAAAGUACCGUAAGGGAAAGAUGAAAGAAAUCUCUAAAGUAAUAGACAGCAAAGAUUAACCCUUUUACCUUUUGCAUAAUGAGCUAGCCAGAACCACCUUAGCAAAGAGACCUUAAGUUAACUUCCCCGAAACCAGACGAGCUACCCAUAAACAACCCACCGGGGUAAACUCAUCUAUGUUGCAAAAUAGUGAGAAGAUUUAUAGGUAGAGGUGAAAAGCCUACCGAGCCUGGUGAUAGCUGGUUGCCCAGAAUAGAAUUUCAGUUCGACUUUAAAUUUACCUAACAAACUUCGAAUUUCAAUGUAAAUUUAAAAUAUAGUCUAAAAAGGUACAGCUUUUUAGAUAAGGAUACAGCCUUGAUUAGAGAGUAAAAUAUUAUAAAA
This 491-nucleotide ribosomal RNA is filed under the name Potos flavus (kinkajou). RNAcentral describes it as "partial 16S ribosomal RNA". The stretch from base 155 to 491 matches the Rfam family "Bacterial large subunit ribosomal RNA", at positions 569 to 1054 of the family's 2925-position model. Lineage: Eukaryota; Metazoa; Chordata; Mammalia; Carnivora; Procyonidae. The record is from RNAcentral.